GCAUAUCAAUAAGCGGAGAAAGAACUACMAGGAUUCCCUAGWACKGCGAGUGAGAGGGAAGAGCCCAAGAUUGAAAGCUGGCGUCUUUGGCGUYUGCAUUGUAAUCUCAAGAAGUGUUUUCCGCUUUGGACCAUGCCUAAGUCCCUUGGAAAAGGGCAUCAUAGAGGGUGAUAAUCCCGUACAUGGCAKGGAGCGCCCGAAGCUUUGUGAUACACUUUCUAAGAGUCGAGUUGUUUGGGAAUGCAGCUCAAAAUGGGUGGUAAAUGCCAUCUAAGGYUAAAUAUUGGGGAGAGACCGAUAGCGAWCAAGUACAGUGAUGGAAAGAUGAAAAGAACUUUGAAAAGAGAGUUAAACAGUACGUGAAAUUGCCAAAAGGGAAGGGUAGGAGGUCAGAGAUGCGGUCUGGGAUUCAGCCUUGCUUUUGCUGGGUGUUUUUCUCAGAUUGCAGGCCAACGUCGGUUUUGGGCGCUGGAGAAGGGUGGAAGGAAUGUGGCACCUCUCGGGGUGUGUUAUAGCCUUCUACUGGAUACAGUGACCGAGACCGAGGACAGCADCGUACUCRCAAGARCGGGCCUUCRGGCACCUUUACKCUUASGGCGUUGGCAUAAUGGCCCUCUACCACCCGUCUUGAAACACGGACCAAGGAGUCUAACAUGUAUGCRAGUCUUUGGGUGGCAAACCCAUAGGCGCAAUGAAAGUGAAUUCAGGUGGGAUCCRYAAGGUGCRCCAUCGACCGAUCCUCACGUCUUUUUAAGUCRUGGAUUUGAGUAAGAGCAUACCUGUUGGGACCCGAAAGAUGGUGAACUAUGCCUGAAUAGGGUGAAGCCARAGGAAACUCUGGUGGAGGCUCGUAACGGAUCUGACCUGCCAAUCRAUCGUCAAAUUUGGGUAUAGGGGCGAAAGAMUAAUCGAACCAUCUAGUAGCUGGUCCUGCGAGUU
Molecule: ribosomal RNA, 939 nt
Filed under: Ustilago cynodontis
Lineage: Eukaryota; Fungi; Basidiomycota; Ustilaginomycetes; Ustilaginales; Ustilaginaceae
Description: partial large subunit ribosomal RNA
Rfam family: Eukaryotic large subunit ribosomal RNA
Source: RNAcentral